This is a long non-coding RNA of Physcomitrium patens, 917 nucleotides long. RefSeq lists it as uncharacterized. The record is from RefSeq and is a predicted model, not a curated record. Lineage: Eukaryota; Viridiplantae; Streptophyta; Bryopsida; Funariales; Funariaceae.
CACACACGCACCUGCGCACAAAGGCGUUCAGGCAAAAAUUGUGUGAACAAGUCAAGCAAGACGCAGCAAGGCAAACAGGCGGGCGGGGAGGAGGAGGUGGGGUGGUGUGUUUGUAUGUGUGUUGUGAUGUGUGAGCAGACCCAACGAACCAAAUCAGAUCCUCUGCUUGGUGGAGGGUGAAAGUGCACAUCGCAUCGCAUCGCAAGCUGCUGCUGAAUAGGAGCAGGAUUUGCCGCGAGAAUGUCCUGAGGGAUAUAUUCCCCGCAGCUCUGCCCUUUUUCUGGGCUUUCCUGAAAACGGUAUCCUUGAGGGCGGUGAUUAGAAUGCAGUGCUAAUGGAGCUUCCACUGGUAGGCAAAGGUAGGAUUAUUCUCUCGCUUUGACGGCCGAAGCACGACGCACCCAUGUGAAAGGUGGCCGCAAGCAUCGGGCGACAACGGCCUGGCAUAGGGAAGGGCAUGGCGAAAGAGAGCUCGUUGCAUGUGCAGCGGUGUUCGUUGAACCGUUCAUUUUUGUUUCCUCAUUUUAAUAUAACAUUUCGGACAUCUAUGGCGCAAACAUAAUGUGGUCGGGGCUUUUGGAAUGCUUGCAAUGGUAGCUGCAUCUGCUGUUUCUGAUUCGUGCAUGUGAAAAUGCAUGAACUUGAUGAAAUCCAUGCUCGACAGCCCGAAAUGCAGCAAUCACAAGUUACUGAUCAUGUCGCAAAAAGUAGCAAUAAUCUGAGUUUUCAUAAAGUAGCAGAAUUUUGCUCUUGGUAAAACUUUUCCCCGACGGUUCUUUUGGGAGAACUUGUUCCAUUGGGUACUUCAUAUGAAGUAAAGUUUAAAAACAGCGGUACAUCAUCACCCACCACUACAAUCCUCAGAUACAGAUGUUCUCAUUCGCAAGAAUCUAAGUAUUCAAUAUUAUAUUAAUCAA